AACUUCGCAUGGGCGAUAGCCUGCGGAGCAAUGCCGCGUGUGGGAUGAAGCAUCUUCGAUGUGUAAACCACUGUCAAGGUCUAGGAAUACUGACCAGACCUAAAGGAAGGGCCGGCUAAUUCCGUGCCAGCAGCCGCGGUAAUACGGAAGGCCCGAGCGUUAAUCGGAAUCACUGGGCUUAAAGCGUACGCAGGCGGACUUGUAGGUAUUUUGUGAAAUCCCACGGCUUAACCGUGGAACUGCAGGGUAAACCACAAGUCUUGAGACAUGUAGGGGUCAGUGGAACCAUGAGUGGUAGCGGUGAAAUGCGUAGAUAUUCAUGGGAACGCCAAUGGCGAAGGCAGCUGACUGGGCAUGUUCUGACGCUCAGGUACGAAAGCGUGGGUAGCGAACGGGAUUAGAUACCCCGGUAGUCCACGCCGUAAACGAUGCACACUAGUUCGUGGGAUCUCUCAUGAUUUCGCGGACGAAGGUAAACUGGUUAGUGUGCCGCCUGGGGAGUACGGUCGCAAGGCUAAAACUCAAAGGAAUUGACGGGGGCUCACACAAGCGGUGGAGCAUGUUGCUUAAUUCGAGGCAACGCGAAGAACCUUACCUGGGCUUGACAUGUAUGGAUUAGCUUAUGGAAACAUAAGUAACGCCCUUGGGUGGAACAUACACAGGUGCUGCAUGGCUGUCGUCAGCUCGUGCUGUGAAGUGUCGGGUUAAGUCCCUUAACGAGCGCAACCCCUAUCGUUAGUUACUAACGCGUUAUGGCGAGGACUCUAGCGAGACUGCCGGUGUCAAACCGGAGGAAGGUGGGGAUGACGUCAAGUCCUCAUGGCCUUUAUGCCCAGGGAUGCAAACGUGCUACAAUGGUACGGACAAAAGCGAUGCGAUA
Molecule: ribosomal RNA, 880 nt
Filed under: uncultured bacterium
Lineage: Bacteria
Description: bacterial SSU rRNA
Rfam family: Bacterial small subunit ribosomal RNA
Source: RNAcentral